Molecule: ribosomal RNA, 254 nt
Filed under: uncultured bacterium
Lineage: Bacteria
Description: partial 16S ribosomal RNA
Rfam family: Bacterial small subunit ribosomal RNA
Source: RNAcentral
UACGAAGGGGGGCUAGCGUUGUUCGGAAUUACUGGGCGUAAAGCGCGCGCAGGCGGCUAUCCAAGUCAGUGGUGAAAGCCCGGAGCUCAACUCCGGAACUGCCAUUGAAACUGUUUAGCUUGAGGAUGAGAGAGGUGAGUGGAAUUCCCAGUGUAGAGGUGAAAAUUCGUAGAUAUUGGGAAGAACACCGGUGGCGAAAGCGGCUUCCUGGUCCAGCACCGACGUCAGGCACGAAAGCGUGGGGAGCAAACAGG